Non-coding RNA from Helianthus annuus (common sunflower), 107 nucleotides. The record is from Rfam. Lineage: Eukaryota; Viridiplantae; Streptophyta; Magnoliopsida; Asterales; Asteraceae.
UAGUAGUGGUGAGGACAUUUUCGAAGAAUGUCCUUGAAACGUUCCUACGCCGGAUAUAGUGAUUUACCGUCUUCUUGGGUAAAUGUGGUAAUAUCAUUUCUUAACUU